AGCGAACGCUGGCGGCAUGCCUAACACAUGCAAGUCGAACGAGACCUUCGGGUUUAGUGGCGCACGGGUGCGUAACGCGUGGGAACCUGCCCUUAGGUUCGGAAUAACUCCCCGAAAGGGGUGCUAAUACCGGAUAAUGUCUUCGGACCAAAGAUUUAUCGCCUUUGGAUGGGCCCGCGUUGGAUUAGCUAGUUGGUAGGGUAAAAGCCUACCAAGGCGACGAUCCAUAGCUGGUCUGAGAGGAUGAUCAGCCACACUGGGACUGAGACACGGCCCAGACUCCUACGGGAGGCAGCAGUGGGGAAUAUUGGACGAUGGGCGAAAGCCUGAUCCAGCAAUGCCGCGUGAGUGAUGAAGGCCUUAGGGUUGUAAAGCUCUUUUACCCGGGAUGAUAAUGACAGUACCGGGAGAAUAAGCUCCGGCUAACUCCGUG
RNAcentral lists this ribosomal RNA (433 nucleotides) under uncultured bacterium. Its description in RNAcentral is "partial 16S ribosomal RNA". It matches the Rfam family "Bacterial small subunit ribosomal RNA", at positions 29 to 507 of the family's 1533-position model. The record is from RNAcentral.